This 333-nucleotide ribosomal RNA is filed under the name uncultured bacterium. Its description in RNAcentral is "SSU rRNA". It matches the Rfam family "Bacterial small subunit ribosomal RNA", at positions 26 to 377 of the family's 1533-position model. The record is from RNAcentral.
AGGAUGAACGCUGGCGGCGUGCCUAAUACAUGCAAGUCGAGCGGUAAGGCCACUUCGGUGGUACACGAGCGGCGGACGGCUGAGUAACACGUAGGAACGUACCCCAAAGUGAGGCAUAAGCACCAGAAAUGGUGUCUAAUACCGCAUGUGGCCUAACAGGCUAAAGCUCCGGCGCUUUGGGAACGGCCUGCGCAUGAUUAGCUUGUUGGUGAGGUAAAAGCUCACCAAGGCAGUGAUCAUUAGCUGGUCUGAGAGGAUGACCAGCCAGACUGGGACUGAGAACGGCCCAGACUCCUACGGGAGGCAGCAGUAGGGAAUUUUCCACAAUGGGCG